AGUCGACGAUGAAUCUUCUAGCUUGCUAGAAGUGGAUUAGUGGCGCACGGGUGAGUAAUGCAUAGGUUAUGUGCCCUUUAGUCUGGGAUAGCCACUGGAAACGGUGAUUAAUACUGGAUACUCCCUACGGGGGAAAGUUUUUCGCUAAAGGAUCAGCCUAUGUCCUAUCAGCUUGUUGGUGGGGUAAUGGCUCACCAAGGCUAUGACGGGUAUCCGGCCUGAGAGGGUGAUCGGACACACUGGAACUGAGACACGGUCCAGACUCCUACGGGAGGCAGCAGUAGGGAAUAUUGCUCAAUGGGGGAAACCCUGAAGCAGCAACGCCGCGUGGAGGAUGAAGGUUUUAGGAUUGUAAACUCCUUUUGUUAGAGAAGAUUAUGACGGUAUCUAACGAAUAAGCACCGGCAAACUCCGUGCCAGCAGCCGCGGUAAUACGGAGGGUGCAAGCGUUACUCGGAAUCACUGGGCGUAAAGAGUGCGUAGGCGGGGUAAUAAGUCAGAUGUGAAAUCCUGUAGCUUAACUACAGAACUGCAUUUGAAACUGUUACUCUGGAGUGUGGGAGAGGUAGGUGGAAUACUUGGUGUAGGGGUAAAAUCCGUAGAGAUCAAGAGGAAUACUCAUUGCGAAGGCGACCUGCUGGAACAUUACUGACGCUGAUGCACGAAAGCGUGGGGAGCAAACAGGAUUAGAUACCCUGGUAGUCCACGCCCUAAACGAUGGAUGCUAGUUGUUGCCUUGCUUGUCAGGGCAGUAAUGCAGCUAACGCAUUAAGCAUCCCGCCUGGGGAGUACGGUCGCAAGAUUAAAACUCAAAGGAAUAGACGGGGACCCGCACAAGCGGUGGAGCAUGUGGUUUAAUUCGAAGAUACGCGAAGAACCUUACCUAGGCUUGACAUUG
RNAcentral lists this ribosomal RNA (898 nucleotides) under uncultured bacterium. RNAcentral's name for it is "bacterial SSU rRNA". It matches the Rfam family "Bacterial small subunit ribosomal RNA", at positions 60 to 989 of the family's 1533-position model. The record is from RNAcentral.